RNAcentral lists this ribosomal RNA (268 nucleotides) under Sarasinula linguaeformis. Its description in RNAcentral is "partial 28S ribosomal RNA". It matches the Rfam family "Eukaryotic large subunit ribosomal RNA", at positions 694 to 922 of the family's 3401-position model. The record is from RNAcentral. Lineage: Eukaryota; Metazoa; Mollusca; Gastropoda; Systellommatophora; Veronicellidae.
UUGGGCAGUGCGAAACCCAAAGGCGCAGUGAAAGCGAGGAUCCGCUUGCCGGAUCCAGGUGGGAUCCUUCUCCCCCCCGUCCGGGGUGGCGAGGAGGCGCACCACCGGCCCGUCCCGACUGCGUCGGCAGUGGGGCGGAGCAGGAGCGUGCACGCUGGGACCCGAAAGAUGGUGAACUAUGCCUGAGCAGAAGGAAGCCAGAGGAAACUCUGGUGGAAGUUCGUAGCGAUUCUGACGUGCAAAUCGAUCGUCAAACUUGGGUAUAGGG